GUGUAAGGUGCGGCUUGGCUGGUCCUGGCCUGAAUCCAGCGGAAGCGCACGCUGCUGAGCUGUCAGCGGAGGAAAAUGGGGCCUGGACCUGGAGAUAUGAGGGUCUGGAGAGAGGGGCCCCUUCCCUGGUGUCGUGUGGUGCGACCACUGGAGAGGGAGUUUCUCGCCCUCGUCGCGCCUGCCGCGCGGAGAGAUAAGGUCCUAGCACAGUAUCUGGCCAAUAUUAGGUUCUCACAAAUUGAGCAAAUAUGGAGGUGAAUUGAUGUGGAGCAAGAAUAGGAAGUGGAACCAAUGGAAGAUCUCAAGGAGAAGCAGAGCAACAUAAUGUGAGGAAGCUAGAACAGGAGAUGGUUCCAGGAAGGAUUUCAUGUUUAUUGAAUGACUGAUUAAAUCAGGACUCCUUAAGCUUUUUAUGUGCCAUUAGCUUUUUUGGCAGUUUGGUGAAGCCUUUGCAUCUUGUCUGAUGAUAUUUGUAAAUGCAUA
RNAcentral lists this long non-coding RNA (483 nucleotides) under Pan troglodytes (chimpanzee). Its description in RNAcentral is "long non-coding RNA NONPTRT015103". The record is from RNAcentral. Lineage: Eukaryota; Metazoa; Chordata; Mammalia; Primates; Hominidae.